This is an RNA transcript of Oncorhynchus kisutch (coho salmon), 2427 nucleotides long. It is a transcript of the gene named serine-protein kinase ATM-like, with no coding region annotated. The transcript has 10 exons. NCBI's taxonomy places the organism in Eukaryota, Metazoa, Chordata, Actinopteri, Salmoniformes, Salmonidae. The record is from RefSeq and is a predicted model, not a curated record.
UCAGUUUUUAGCUCAUUUCAAGUUACUUCCACGACGUUACAUAUAGAAGCUGAUAUCUGUUUUGUCAUUGAAGUUUGUUUUGAUGAUUGUUAUUACUGGUGGUGGCUUUUGCAUCUGUACACAAAACAUUAUGUUCUUGUAUACAGAAAGAGGCUUAUAGCUUCAGACAACUCCUUCGGUCUCCUGACACAGUGGAGGAGCUGCAUCACAUUCUGGAACCAGAGCAUCUAAAGGCUCCAAGCAGCUCACCUGGGAUGCAGUCCUCAGGCAGGAGAGACACUUGCCGGUGGUGGAGCACUUGGUCUGCUGCCAUGAACUGCCGUAUGAGGGUGUGUCGGCUGGGUGAGGAGCUCCUGCCCUCUGUGCUCUAUGUAUGGAGACAGAUGAGGCCCAGCAGCACUCUCAAAGAGGAGAUGGUAGAGUUAUUCAACCUGCAGCUCUGUGUACAUCAUCUCAAGGGUCAAAUACACAAGACACAGGAGCCUAUGCUGAGGACUGGGCCAAAUGGCAGAGUCUACUCUAUAACCUCUAUGAUGCCCUGGUGACUGAGAUCAGCCAGAUUGGGAGCCGGGAGAAAUAUGCCACAGGGUUGCGCCACAUUGCUGUGAAGGAGAACCUUAUUGAGCUAACUGGAGACAUCAGAUGAUAAAUCUAAGAUCCUUAAUUUUCACAUCUUGACUUCGUUGACCAUUUCCAGGCUAAAACCUGAGCUGUGCUGACAUAGUUUACCUGUCUUUAAGAUGGUUUUGGUAUUGUUGGUCUCAUCUUCAUGUUUUAGGUGUUUGACUGUUUCUUAGCUCUAUAGCGAAGAUUGUAACCUUCAGAUUCUGGAUGUGACUCAGGCCCACCUCAGAGCCACCCAGAGAGGAAGUCUCCAGGGCACGCCCAGCAAGUGCAGACACAUCGAGCUGGGCUGGGAGGUUCUCCGAGACCACCUGCAGCCACACCAUCAUACCAUGUGUUGCUGAUCUGUGUUUGGCCCAGGCCCUUCUCAAGUGUCCUGUUCCUAAGCUUGGGCACUGGGUGGGACCAUGCAGGGCUGUGGAGGGGGUCGGGCCCCCCAGCAUCAAGGAGAACAUCAUGAGCUGGCUGCUGAUGAACGAACAGAGUGAAGAGGCAGAGGAGAGAUCAAGAUCACACCCCAUCAUCUGCAGGAUUUUCCUCACAACCUAAUCCGCAGAAUCCUUGUGCCUUUGACCCUCAAAGACACCCGAGCUAGCAUUAUGUUUCUCCUCGGAGCAAAGGAACUUGAGAGGCUGUUCUUGGAGAUGACACCGGACAGCUUGGAGAAGAGAAAGAUGCUUCCUCUGAAAUGCCAGCAGACAGCCGUUGAGAACGUCUACCUGAAAGCCUAAGAAGGGAUGAGGCUCCAGAAGAGCAGCUCUUGGAAUACCUGAAUGACAAGACAUUUAACAGCAAGGCCACGCUGCUGAAGAAUGUGUCGGUGGUGCUGUGCUGCAGCCCCGUCUGUGAGAAACAGUCCCUCUUCGCCCUCUUCCAGUCCAACAAGGAGAACAACAUAGAGGAGCCGCUCAUCAAAGAGCUAUGGGCAAAUCAUUUGGCUACACAUCCUGGGCAGUGAGUCCAGAGUUCUGGGCUACAGAAGUGUGGAGGGGUUUGUUAGCUCUCACCUGGAUUACCUGGUGGCAGAGGGGCUGGGCUAGCCUGGCUAUACCCUGGAGUUCUUCCCCUACACUCUGCUCAAUCACCCCACUCUCUUCUACAGUAACCUGGCGGACAUUGUGGUGGAGCUGUUGAUGACCCUGUAUGAUGGGGCUGCUACCGAGGAGGGCAGAGGGGACCUGAGGAGGUGCAUAGGAUAAUGUUCAUUACACAUCACUCCUUACCACUCCACAACCACACUUACUUGCAUUCACAACCUUUCAUUGUCUGUGAUGAUAUGUUCCAUGUUCUCUCUAGGGAACUGGACCCAGCCCCAAUCCCACCCUCUUUCAGCUCCAAUGUUAUCAAAGCCACACUGGACUACCUCAGCAAAUGUCACAGUGCCAGUCACCAGUCGUCCCUGGUGGCCAUUUUAUCCAGGACACUGAUCUCCAUCCAGAGGAUCCUGCUGGCGGUGUCAGAAGGCAGCUGAGACGAUCAAUGCCUACGAGAGGAUCCCAGGGCAGUGAUUGGGGACAUUAGCCUGUGUAGUGUGCUGGUUUUCCUGACUCUCUGUGGUCACUAAAAGAUCCCAUGGAAUGUAAGAGUAGGGGUGUUAACCCUGGUGUCCUCGCUAAAUUCCCAAUCUGGUUCUCAUACCCUCAUGGCCACCUAAUCAUCCCCUGCUUCCAAUUGGCUCAUUCAUCCCCACUCCUUUCCCAUUUAACUAUUCCCCAGGUCGUUGCUGUAAAUGAUGUGUACUCAGUCAACUUAUCUGGUAAAAUAAGGGUUAAAUCAAAUAAAACACAACCACUUUCCAAAUGA